Molecule: long non-coding RNA, 412 nt
Filed under: Pan troglodytes (chimpanzee)
Lineage: Eukaryota; Metazoa; Chordata; Mammalia; Primates; Hominidae
Description: long non-coding RNA NONPTRT008523
Source: RNAcentral
GGGAUUAUAGGCAUGAGCCACUGCGCCAGGCCUAUUGGCCUCUUUUAUUUGCAUUGCUGCCUCUUUCUGUCACUGACCACCCCACCAUCUCCCCCUCCCACUGGUCCUAUCCUGCUUCCCCUCUCCCUAUGGCAUCCUCUUAGCUGGUGUGGGGGGGCAGGACUCCCCAGCCCAGGUUCCCUGGCUCCCAUCCAACGCCUGGCCUGGCCGGGGUGACCUUUGCAGUGACAGGCUCCCUGUCAGAGCUCCAGAUUAGCUAUGUCUGCCGGGAAGUGCUCCAGGGACUGGCCUAUUUGCACUCACAGAAGAAGAUACACAGGGACAUCAAGGGAGCUAACAUCCUCAUCAAUGAUGCUGGGGAGGUCAGAUUGGCUGACUUUGGCAUCUCGGCCCAGAUUGGGGCUACGCUGGC